Molecule: long non-coding RNA, 609 nt
Organism: Sarcophilus harrisii (Tasmanian devil)
Lineage: Eukaryota; Metazoa; Chordata; Mammalia; Dasyuromorphia; Dasyuridae
Source: Ensembl
GGCUCAGCCUCCUCCUGGAGUCCUAGACCGGGCACCGUGGGGCCGCUGGUGGGGGGGAGGGGAGGGGAGAGAUAUUGUUUGUGAAGUAAGAGAGCCCCGGGCGGUAACAGCUCCCUUCACAUUUUCGAGACCCUGUGUGCCUGUGGCUCGCUCAAUCCUCACUAACACGUUUGGGAAUGGAUUCCCGGAACACUUUGCGGUCACGAUCGCGUGUGGUCCUCGGAACAGCCCUGGGAGGCAGGCGUAUCAUCAUCCCUGUUUUACACAGGAGAAAUUGGAGGCGGGAGUUGCCCAGAGUCACACAAUUAAGAACAAAUUCGAACGCAGAUCUUGAUGACUGACCAGAAGUCUGGAGUGAGAAUUAUGCUUUUUGUCAAGGGAUCUCUCUCGUUAACAUCGCUGCCUACCAGGACUCUUGCCCUCUGUGAUGCUAUUCUCUUCUCAGUGAUGAGCCUUUUAUUUCUCUGCUAGGGCCUCUUGCCAUUCUGCCUUCCUAGCAAAGCUGACUUCUCAAUGCCAAUAAAACUAACUUUUUUGCCACUAAUAUUUCGGGUUCAUGAAUUCUUUCACUUUGGACCUGUGCCUCUGACCAAAAAGGGGAUUCCCACA